GGGUUGAGGACAUGGGGAUGGGGUGGAGGCCCCCAACGAGGUUGGAGGCCAAGAGCUGGAGGACCUUGAAGAGGUUGGAGAAGGUUGGGAUGGGUUGGAGGACCUCAACCUUUGAGAACAUGGCUUGGAGAACCUCGAAGAGGUUGGAGGAGAAGAGUUGGAGGAGGUUGAGGAGGUUGGAGGAGGUUGGGAUGGGUUGGAGGACCUCGAGGUUGGAGGACAUGGCUUGGAGGACCUCAAGGAGGUUUGGGGACACGAAUUUGGGGACAUUUGGGGACACGGGGCCAGGGUGGAGGCCCUCAACCGUUGAGAACAUGGCCUGGAGGACCUCGAGGAGGUUGGAGGAGAAGAGUUGGAGGAGGUCGAGGAGGUCAAAGGACACAAAUUUGGGGUCGUUUGGGACAUUUGGGGACACGAGGUUGGGUUGGAGGCCCUCAACCGUUGAGAACAUGGCUUGGAGGACCUCCAGGAGGUUUGGGGACACAAAUUUGGGGACAUUUGGGACAUUUGGGGACAUGGGGAGGGGUUUGAGGACCUCGAGGAGGUUUGGGGACACAAAUUUGGGGACAUUUGGGGACACGGGGACAAAUCGGAGGUCCUCGAGGUUUGGGGACAUGAAUUUGGGGUCGUUUGGGACAUUUGGGGACACGAAUUUGGGGACAUUUGGGGACACGAAUUUGGGGACGUUUGGGGACACGAAUUUGGGGUCGUUUGGGACAUUUGGGGACACGAAUUUGGGGACAUUGAGGUUCGGGACUUUUGGGACGUUUGGGGACACGAAUUUGGGGACAUUUGGGGACACGAAUUUGGGGACGUUUGGGGACACGAAUUUGGGGUCGUUUGGGACAUUUGGGGACACGAAUUUGGGGACGUUUGGGGACAGCGGCCCCCCGGGGCCAGCCGGGGCUUUUUGGGUGGUUUUGGGGCCCCCAAGGGGGGAUUUGGGGAAAUUUGGGGACGUUUGGUGGCCCGGGGGGGACGCGGGGACGUCACCGGGGGCCGCGGGGUGGCCGCGUCUUCUUCUGGGGGGACCUGCGGGGGAAGGAGGGCAAGGAUGGUCCCAAAUUGCCCCAAAAUUGCCCCAAAAUGGUCCCAAAAACCCAAAAUCCCAAAAUAUAAGCCCAAAAGCACCCAAAAUGGCCCUAAAACCACCCAAAAUGGCCCCAAAACCACCCAAAAUGGCCCCCAAACCACCCUAAAUGUCCCCCAAACCCACCCAAAUGGUCCCAAAUGGCCCCAAAAUGACCCCAAAAUGGUCCCAAAAACCCCAAAUCCCAAAAUAUAACCCCAAAAGCACCCAAAAUGGCCCCCAAACCCACCAAAUGUCCCCCCAAAACCACCAAAAUGGCCCCAAAUGGCCCCAAAUGUCCCCAGUGUCNNNNNNNNNNAAAUCCCAAAAUAUCCCCCAAAAGCACCCAAAAUGGCCCCAAAAGCACCCAAAAUGGCCCCCCAAACACCCAAAAUGGCCCCAAAACCACCCUAAAUGUCCCCCAAACCCACCCAAAUGGUCCCAAAUGGCCCCAAAAUGGCCCCAAAAUGGUCCCAAAAACCCAAAAUCCCAAAAUAUCCCCCAAAAGCACCCAAAAUGGCCCCAAAAGCACCCAAAAUGGCCCCCCAAACACCCAAAAUGGCCCCAAAACCACCCUAAAUGUCCCCCAAACCCACCCAAAUGGUCCCAAAUGGCCCCAAAUAAAUGACCCCAAAUGUCCCCAAAUGUCCCCAGUGUCCCCAAAAACCCCA
This 1740-nucleotide long non-coding RNA is filed under the name Anas zonorhyncha (Eastern spot-billed duck). RNAcentral's name for it is "lncRNA (ENSAZOG00000005272.1)". The record is from RNAcentral. Lineage: Eukaryota; Metazoa; Chordata; Aves; Anseriformes; Anatidae.